AUUGAACGCUGGCGGCAGGCCUAAUACAUGCGAGUCGAGCGGAUGAAGGGAGCUUGCUCCUGGAUUCAGCGGCGGACGGGCGAGUAAUGCCUAGGAAUCUGCCUGGUAGUGGGGGCUAACGUCCGGACACGGGCGCUAAUACCGCAUACGUCCUGAGGGAGAAAGUGGGGGAUCUUCGGACCUCACGCUAUCAGAUGAGCCUAGGUCGGAUUAGCUAGUUGGUGGGGUAAAGGCCUACCAAGGCGACGAUCCGUAACUGGUCUGAGAGGAUGAUCAGCCACACUGGAACUGAGACACGGUCCAGACUCCUACGGGAGGCAGCAGUGGGGAAUAUUGGACAAUGGGCGAAAGCCUGAUCCAGCCAUGCCGCGUGUGUGAAGAAGGUCUUCGGAUUGUAAAGCACUGUAAGUUGGGAGGAAGGGCAGUAAGAUAAUACCUUGCUGUUUUGACGGUACCAACAGAAUAAGCACCGGCUAACUUCGUG
This 484-nucleotide ribosomal RNA is filed under the name uncultured bacterium. RNAcentral describes it as "partial 16S ribosomal RNA". It matches the Rfam family "Bacterial small subunit ribosomal RNA", at positions 30 to 507 of the family's 1533-position model. The record is from RNAcentral.